CAACUCGCCUGCAUGAAGCUGGAAUUGCUAGUAAUCGCGGAUCAGCAUGCCGCGGUGAAUACGUUCCCGGGCCUUGUACACACCGCCCGUCACACCAUGAGAGUCGGGAACACCCGAAGUCCGUAGUCUAACCGCAAGGAGGGCGCGGCCGAAGGUGGGUCCGGUAAUUGGGUGAAGUCGUAACAAGGUAUC
This 192-nucleotide ribosomal RNA is filed under the name uncultured bacterium. RNAcentral's name for it is "partial 16S ribosomal RNA". It matches the Rfam family "Bacterial small subunit ribosomal RNA", at positions 1308 to 1500 of the family's 1533-position model. The record is from RNAcentral.